RNAcentral lists this ribosomal RNA (321 nucleotides) under Enterobacter sp. lna3. RNAcentral's name for it is "partial 16S ribosomal RNA". It matches the Rfam family "Bacterial small subunit ribosomal RNA", at positions 1 to 321 of the family's 1533-position model. Lineage: Bacteria; Pseudomonadati; Pseudomonadota; Gammaproteobacteria; Enterobacterales; Enterobacteriaceae. The record is from RNAcentral.
UAUAUCUGCAGAGUNUGAUCAUGGCUCAGAUUGAACGCNGGCNGCAGGCCUAACACAUGCAAGUCGAGCNGUAACACAGGGAGCUUGCUCCUGGGNGACGAGCGGCGGACGGGUGAGUAAUGUCUGGGAAACUGCCUGAUGGAGGGGGAUAACUACUGGAAACGGUAGCUAAUACCGCAUAANGUCGCAAGACCAAAGAGGGGGACCUUCGGGCCUCUUGCCAUCAGAUGUGCCCAGAUGGGAUUAGCUAGUAGGUGGGGUAACGGCUCACCUAGGCGACGAGCNCUAGCUGGUCUGAGAGGAUGCCANCACACUGAACUG